GACGAACGCUGGCGGCGUGCCUAAUACAUGCAAGUCGAACGAGAGCGACCGGUGCUUGCACUGGUCAAUCUAGUGGCGAGCGGGUGAGUAACACGUGGGUAACCUGCCCAUCAGAGGGGGAUAACAUCCGGAAACGGAUGCUAAAACCGCAUAGGUCUUCGAGCCGCAUGGCUUGAAGAGGAAAAGAGGCGCAAGCUUCUGCUGAUGGAUGGACCCGCGGUGCAUUAGCUAGUUGGUGAGGUAACGGCUCACCAAGGCCGUGAUGCAUAGCCGACCUGAGAGGGUGAUCGGCCACAUUGGGACUGAGACACGGCCCAAACUCCUACGGGAGGCAGCAGUAGGGAAUCUUCCGCAAUGGACGCAAGUCUGACGGAGCAACGCCGCGUGAGUGAAGAAGGUUUUCGGAUCGUAAAACUCUGUUGUUAGAGAAGAACAAGUGCUAGAGUAACUGUUAGCGCCUUGACGGUAUCUAACCAGAAAGCCACGGCUAACUACGUG
Molecule: ribosomal RNA, 498 nt
Filed under: uncultured bacterium
Lineage: Bacteria
Description: partial 16S ribosomal RNA
Rfam family: Bacterial small subunit ribosomal RNA
Source: RNAcentral